RNAcentral lists this ribosomal RNA (623 nucleotides) under uncultured bacterium. RNAcentral's name for it is "bacterial SSU rRNA". It matches the Rfam family "Bacterial small subunit ribosomal RNA", at positions 391 to 1014 of the family's 1533-position model. The record is from RNAcentral.
GCCAUGCCGCGUGCAGGAUGACGGUUCUAUGAAUUGUAAACUGCUUUUGUACGGGAAUAACGGUCUCUACGUGUAGGGAUGUGCAUGUACCGUACGAAUAAGGAUCGGCUAACUCCGUGCCAGCAGCCGCGGUAAUACGGAGGAUUCGAGCGUUAUCCGGAUUUAUUGGGUUUAAAGGGUGCGUAGGCGGUUCGGUAAGUUAGAGGUGAAAGGUCAGGGCUUAACCCUGGGACUGCCUCUGAUACUGUCGGACUGGAGAGCAGAUGCAGCAGGCGGAAUGAGUAGUGUAGCGGUGAAAUGCUUAGAUAUUACUCAGAACACCGAUUGCGAAGGCAGCUUGCUAAUCUGUAUCUGACGCUGAUGCACGAAAGCGUGGGGAGCGAACAGGAUUAGAUACCCUGGUAGUCCACGCAGUAAACGAUGAUAACUCGUUGUCGGCGAUAGACAGUCGGUGACCAAGCGAAAGCGAUAAGUUAUCCACCUGGGGAGUACGACCGCAAGGUUGAAACUCAAAGGAAUUGACGGGGGCCCGCACAAGCGGAGGAACAUGUGGUUUAAUUCGAUGAUACGCGAGGAACCUUACCCGGGCUUGAAAGUUAGUGACCGACCCUGAAAGGGGUCUU